GCUCUUAAAAGUUCCUAAAAUUUUGGGCGGGCAAAUGUGGUGCCUCCUUCUCCCGUAAAAAAAAAAAAAAAAACUGAAAAAUAAUUUCCUCCUCUCCUGUCUCAUAUCUCUACCACCACUCUUCACUUUCCAUUCCAUACCUUCUCUCAACUCUCCAGUCUCUUAUUCUCACUCUUGUUAUCCAUACCCACUCUCUAGCUUCGACUAAGGUUUUCACCUCUCCGAAUUCCAACCUCUCUGGAUCGAUUAUGUGCUUCAACGCUUCUUUUCUUAAUGGUUCUCGUGAUGGUGUUAGGGUUGGGUAUUAGAGGUUUUGAUCGAAGGUGUUCUUCUCUCAACCCGUUGUUUUAGCACUCAGCCAUAGAGAAGAGGUUUGUGUAUUUUUCACUUUUCAUCAUUUGGUAAGAACACAUUUCUCUCUCAACCUUUAAUUUGAAUUCUCUUCGCUCUCAAAUGCUUACUUUUUCAUCAUAUUUCUCUGUAUUUCUUCUUUUUGAUGUUGUUUAUUCUCCUAUCACUACCUAAGUUGUCGUCUAACCCAGAUUUCUUUGGUGAGGUUCUCAUUAUCUUUCAAGGCAUUUCAUGUUUUCUCUGAUUUUUUUUCUUUUCAUGGGGCUUAGGUUGUUAUGAUUUGGGGUUCUUGUUAAUGGGUCUUUUUCCUUUUUCUUUCUGGGAUACUUUCGUUUUCAGAUGUUCUAAUUUGCAUUCCAUUUUUGGGUGGCCUCAAUGUGACUUUAUAUGUUUAUGGUUCUUUGAUUGCUUUACUCUCCACGUUUGUUCUUAUUCUAUUAUCUAUAGGCUUCACUUUUCUGUUCGUUUAGUUUUUGUUUGGGGUUUUGGGUUUAGAAUGGUUAUUGUUAUUAGAAAUAUAAAGUUGGAUAUGAGUUUCUACACGGUUUAGUUUUUCUUUAAUGGUAAUUGAAUUCGUUCCACUGGGGGUUUAGUUAGAGCCAAUGUGUUUGCUUUUUUGUCUUUUUUUUUUUUUUUUUCAUUCAUGCCAUUGGUUUUCACUCUCGUGAUUUUGAACUUAUGGAGGUAUUUCAUGAAGUGUUCGAUAUCAUCCUUGUUCUGACUCUUUUUUUCACUUUUCAGCACUCAGCAUUCAGUCGUAGAGUGUAGAGUCGAGACAACUGAAUCUAAUAUUUUCCUCAAAGAACCUUAUGUUAUUUUGCAUUUCCUAUGUACUCAGUCAUUUCAACAUUUAACUGCUUCUACCUCUAUUUUUCAUCAUGUUUCUUUUAUAUGUGUGUGUUUGUGUGUAAUCUAUUGGUUUGAUUUGUAGAAAAUAUUUUCAGGAAAGUCUCAAGGCGAGCCUGAAAGAUUAUGAGAUUGGUUCUUCCCCAAUCUGUCCCUACUAAAAUGGUGGAUGAAAUAUGGCUUUUGCAUCAAUGGAGAUGACGAUUCACUUUACUCUUGAAGACAAAGGGUGUUGAAGAACUAUCAAUAAUGCAUGCGAUAUCUAGACAACAAACACAACUAACUUGGAGCUAAUUAGAUUUUUUUUAUCAAUAUUUUGUAAUUUAUAAAAUUUAUGUUUUGUUCA
This is a long non-coding RNA of Benincasa hispida (wax gourd), 1543 nucleotides long. RefSeq lists it as uncharacterized. Lineage: Eukaryota; Viridiplantae; Streptophyta; Magnoliopsida; Cucurbitales; Cucurbitaceae. The record is from RefSeq and is a predicted model, not a curated record.